CCUACGGGUGGCUGCAGUGGGGGAUAUUGCACAAUGGAGGAAACUCUGAUGCAGCGACGCCGCGUGAGGGAAGACGGUCUUCGGAUUGUAAAACUCCGUCUUUGGGGAAGAAAAUGACGGUACCCAAAGAGGUAGCUCCGGCUAACUACGUUCCAGCAGCCGCGGUAAUACGUAGGGAGCGAGCGUUGUCCGGAAUUACUGGGUGUAAAGGGAGCGUAGGCGGGCGAGAAAGUUGAAUGUUAAAUCUACCGGCUUAACUGGGAGCUGCGGUUAAAACUUGAUGUCUUGAGUGAAGUAGAGGCAGGCGGAAUUCCUAGUGUAGCGGUGAAAUGCGUAGAUAUUAGGAGGAACACCAAUGGCGAAGGCAGCCUGCUGGGCUUUAACUGACGCUGAGGCUCGAAGGCGUGGGGAGCAAACAGGAUUAGAUACCCCGGUAGUC
RNAcentral lists this ribosomal RNA (439 nucleotides) under uncultured bacterium. RNAcentral describes it as "partial 16S ribosomal RNA". It matches the Rfam family "Bacterial small subunit ribosomal RNA", at positions 338 to 795 of the family's 1533-position model. The record is from RNAcentral.